GCACUUGCUGUUCGCAACUGGCAUUGAUGAACGUGAGACGGUCUUCGGAACCGAGGGUUGGGAGUUCGAAUCUCUCCGGGUGCA
RNAcentral lists this transfer RNA (84 nucleotides) under Planctomycetaceae bacterium. RNAcentral describes it as "tRNA-Arg". Lineage: Bacteria; Pseudomonadati; Planctomycetota; Planctomycetia; Planctomycetales; Planctomycetaceae. The record is from RNAcentral.